This 403-nucleotide ribosomal RNA is filed under the name uncultured bacterium. RNAcentral's name for it is "partial 16S ribosomal RNA". It matches the Rfam family "Bacterial small subunit ribosomal RNA", at positions 28 to 526 of the family's 1533-position model. The record is from RNAcentral.
GACGAACGCUGGCGGCGUGCCUAAUACAUGCAAGUCGAACGCAGUGGGGACGGGUGAGUAACACGUGGGUAACCUCCCAUCAGAGGGGAUAACACUUGGAAACAGGUGCUAAACCGAUACUGAUGGAUGGACCCUCGGUGCAUUAGAUAGUGGGUGAGGUAACGGCCCACCAAGGCCACGAUACAUAGCCGCACUGAGAGGAUGAGCGGCCACACUGGGACUGAGACACGGCCCAGACUCCUACGGGAGGUAGCAGUAGGGAAUCUUCGGCAAUGGACGGAAGUCUUACCGAGCAACGCCGCGGGAGUGAAGAAGGUUUUCGGAUCGUAAAGCUCUGUUGUUCGAGACGCGGUAACUAACCAGAAAGGGACGGCUAACUACGUGCCAGCAGCCGCGGUAAUAC